Molecule: long non-coding RNA, 837 nt
Filed under: Phoenix dactylifera (date palm)
Lineage: Eukaryota; Viridiplantae; Streptophyta; Magnoliopsida; Arecales; Arecaceae
Description: long non-coding RNA (PDAC_LNC006434)
Source: RNAcentral
AAACAUUCUUCCUUCUUCUAAUAGUGGAUACGGUCCUUGUAAUGCUUCCGAUUUUGUGCAGCCGUCUCCAAUUUCAAUUUCAUGUUGGUAGCAUCUAUACCAUACCAUAUGCAAUGAACAUGGCUUAAUCAGUUGCUGGGAAAAAUGGUCCCAAAGUUUUUAUAGAAAAUCAUAAUAACAUCAAGUAAAUGACUAGAAAAAGAGAAAAAACAUUCAUUUUGACCUCUCCUCCCAAAACUUUAAAAAGUAUAAAUUAGUCUGUAAGAAUUAUUUUAUGGGUUAAUCAUGCCCCAAACCCUAAACUUACUAGGGUUUUGCAUUUCUAUGCUAAACUUUAAUUUAGCGCAAUCAGAUCAUCGAACAUGCUAAAUUUAACAUUCCAAACCCCGGCUUUGACCUUCGUUGGAGUUGGUCAUACACUAGCACAUGCUGUCAAAAAGAUGCCAGUGUGGAUAGAAUUGGUUGAAAUAGGACAAUCUAAUACAAAAAAAAAAGGGAACGUAGAGGACUUGCUGGAGGGAAAGAAGAAGGGAAGGGAUGCGGAGGAAGACUUGCCGGAGGGCGGUGGCGGACCAGUUGCGGGAGCUGCGGGGGAUGGCACUACCAAUAACUGCAUUGAAACAGUGCACCAUCUUGGUUGCUUUGCGCCAAGACCUGAAGGAAGUCGACCACUCGAAUCGAACAGCCUUCUGACCAUCGUAAACCAGAAAUUAUGGAGGCCAGUCCUGCCCCAAGCCAGACGAGAACACCACCUUGCAUCACCUCCUCUUCGUGUACCAGAAUUAUGCAGACAGCUAACCCACUUCAGGGUUUGGAUCACCCAAACUCUUACUUUUU